RNAcentral lists this ribosomal RNA (755 nucleotides) under uncultured bacterium. RNAcentral's name for it is "bacterial SSU rRNA". It matches the Rfam family "Bacterial small subunit ribosomal RNA", at positions 8 to 796 of the family's 1533-position model. The record is from RNAcentral.
AGAGUUUGAUCAUGGCUCAGAAUCAACGCUGGCGGCGUGCCUAACACAUGCAAGUCGAACGAGAAAGGGGAGCAAUCCCUGAGUACAGUGGCGACCGGGUGAGUAACACGUGACUACCUACCCUUGAGUGGGGGAUAACCUCGGGAAACCGAGGCUAAUACCGCAUAAUAUCGAGAGAUCAAAGGAGCAAUCCGCUCUUGGAGGGGGUCGCGGCUGAUUAGCUAGUUGGUGAGGUAAUGGCUCACCAAGGCGAAGAUCGGUAUCCGGCCUGAGAGGGCGCACGGACACACUGGAACUGAAACACGGUCCAGACUCCUACGGGAGGCAGCAGUGGGGAAUUUUGCGCAAUGGGGGAAACCCUGACGCAGCAACGCCGCGUGGAGGAUGAAGCUCCUUGGAGUGUAAACUCCUUUCGACCGGGACGAUAAUGACGGUACCGGUGGAAGAAGCACCGGCUAACUCUGUGCCAGCAGCCGCGGUAAUACAGAGGGUGCGAGCGUUGUUCGGAAUUAUUGGGCGUAAAGGGCGCGUAGGCGGUGUUGUAAGUCACCUGUGAAACCUCUGGGCUUAACUCAGAGCCUGCAGGCGAAACUGCAAUGCUGGAGGGUGGGAGAGGUGCGUGGAAUUCCCGGUGUAGCGGUGGAAUGCGUAGAUAUCGGGAGGAACACCUGUGGCGAAAGCGGCGCACUGGACCACUACUGACGCUGAGGCGCGAAAGCUAGGGGAGCAAACAGGAUUAGAUACCCUAGUAGUCC